GAAAAAACUAUUGAUAUACAUAAUACAUUAGAUGGGUCUCAAGGUCAUUCAUUAUACUUUAGAUGGGUCUCAAGGUCAAAGAGCCCAUUUUGAGAGGUCACAUGUUACACUAUUCAACUUACGUAACAGUCUCAAAAUGACAAAAUAACAGCGAUGGAGAACAGGUCAGUGAUUGUGGGGGUUAGGUUUGGAGGAGGGUGACUGUGCAGGGCAGCACGUGGGAUUUUCUUUGAGGUAUGGAACAGUUCUAUAUCCUGACUGUAGUGGCCAUUAUGCAAAUCUACACAUGUAAUAAAAUUUUUUGGAACUAUACAGCAACAACAAAAUCACCAUGUAGAGAAGAUUUAACAGGAUAAUUAAAUCAAUGGGAUUUUGGCUCAGGUCUAAGUGUGUCCUUAAAGCCCCAAAAUACUCGGUUGCUAUUCCCUCUGGGAACUUGAAUACAUAAACUCAGCAAGGGGAGAAUCCUUACAUUCCAUCCUGACCCACAGAGUGAGGGCUGUAAUGGCAGGAAGGCCAAGGAGAAGCCAGGACACCUGCCUCCACCUCCUGAAAUACGACACCGAAGGCAACAUCCCAUUUCUAGAGGGACUGAGAGAUUCAUACCACAACUAAGACCUUGACAGAGAUAGUGAAAGCUGCACAUCAGCCCAGGAAAGCCAACAUUCCUCUCCUGCACUGAUAUAAUUCCAGCCAAAGGAAAGAAACUUGACAUGUGGUCAGCUCUUCAAAGGCCACAGCAAAGGGAAAGUGUCACAUCUUUCAAUUUGCCUCAGAAAAGCCUGUGGGAAGUGGGGAGGGGGUUGCAGUCUGCAGAUGGGAGAGCCAUGACAAACCGUUCCAGCAAUGCUACCAAUGGGAUUGCAACCCAGUCUUCAGCAGAGCCAGGGAUGCAAGGAAGAGGGGAAAGAAUAGGUGGAGAGGUGGGGAGCACAUGGACUCGCCUUCAUGGGUACUAGGGGACGUCGUGUGGCAUUCUGAGUCUGAUCCUUCCUGAAACAACGCGAAUGAAGAACUGCACACAACUCAACAGAGAAGAGAGCUGCCCUAGAAAGCUUUGGGUUAAGUGACAUCAGGGAUAGGUCCUGCCAUCCUCUGUCCAGUUGGUGUCAUCAGCAAAGUUUGGGCAACGUUACAGAAAACCUACAGAAGACAGUCACCCCAGCCUCAGCUGGUCAGGACUCUAUAGUGGGAAGUGAACAAAAAAGAGUUUAUCCCAUGGCUCACCUCCUGGGAAUAAUGACAAAGAUGAUGAUAACAAUGGGGGCAUCGGCAUGAAGCAAGAGACUUCCAUGCCUGAUUUUACUCUGUUGUUAAUUAAGUUUGUAAUUCUGAGUCUACAGUGUCACCAUUCUUGGCUUAGUUUGCAUCUUGUAAAAGAAGAACGCUGAGGCAUAGGGUGUCCUUGGCAAAGAUGCGGAUGUCCACUGAGGUCUGCGUGCCCCUUCCCCUCUGUGGACUAGCUGCUGCCCAGCCAGAGACUACACUUCCCAGACCCCCCUGUGAUUUGUUCUCAGCAAUGGAAUGAUGAGCAGGAGUAAUUGGAGCACUUCCAGACCAAAAGGGACAAAAAACAGAUGCAUCUUUUCCAAACUCUCUUCUAUAUCCUGGCAGGAUGUUGGAAUCCACAGCAACCUUGGAAACCACAUGCCCAGAGCCCCCAUCCUUCAGCCUGUGUCCCCAAACACCCAUACAGAGUGAGCGCAGACCAGGACUUGAUAUGAAUGAGAAAUAGCCCCUCAUUAUGUUCAACUAGUGACAUUCUAAGGUCUCUCCAUCAAAGCAGCCUUUAAGCUUCAAGUUUAUGACUAACAAUUUACAAAUACUUUCUUGUUAAUAUUUUUAACUUAACUUGACCUAGAGAAUGACAACCAUGGGAAAUAAGUCAGAUAUUUUUCUCAUUUUACAAAUAAAAACCUGAAGCUAAAAUGCUGAAAUUGUUCCCCAAAGUCAUUGACAAGCAGCAGAGCCAGGAGGCAGGAGCAGGGUCUUGGAUUAGGUUUGAGUGCAAGAAAUAGGGUGGUGCCGGCAUUCAUACCACAGGGCUCUGGGUGUCAUCGUGGGCCUACCUGGGACUGCCUCCGUGAUUUUAAGGAAUUGUUUAAUUUCCCUCAGGACCGUUUCUUGGAUAAUAAACAGGGAACAAUAGGCCAUGUCAAUCAUGUAAAGUUGUUGUAAAGAUAAGGGAAGGCCGGGCAUGAUGGUGCAUGCCUAUAAUCCCAACACUUUGGGAGACCAAGGCGAGAGGAUCACUAGAGCCCAGGAGUAGAAGGUUGCAGUGAGCUAUGACUGUACCACUGCACUCCAGCCUGGGUGACAGAGCGAGGCUCACACUUACUGAACAUCUACCACAGACCAAGCACUGUUCCACCAUCUUGAAUCUAUUGACUCAUUGACUCAUCCAACCACCCUACAAGUUAUAUCAAGUUAUAUCCUCCCUAUUUUCAAGAUGAUGAAAUUAGGAAAAGUUAAGUAAUUUCUCCAACAAUGCAUAUCCUUAGCCUGGAUUCUCCAGAGAGCCAAGAGGGAGGAAGGGAGGGUGGGAUCCGCCCCAAGCUGGUUAUCACUAAAUGCAUCUUCUUGACCUGGUCAGACUGUCCGCCUAGAAGCUUCUUAAGGUGUGACUAAUGACUGUGAGUCUGGGGCAGGAGGAUGCCUGGGUAUGAGCGCUGAGUAGGGUCCCCAGGAAGCCCCAGGGCAGAAGAUAAGAGGAGCCCAAGUGAGCCUGAGGCGGGGCACGGCCAGGCUGACUGCUGGAGUCAGUGGGAGUCUGUGCAGAGCUGGUCGCCACCUCUGAGGCUGGCACAAGAGACAGGCGAACUCGAAAAAGCAUGCAGUCGGGCAAAGUCGGGUAUGUUACAAGCCUACGAUGUCAUGGGGCUAGUCUUUCUCUCCUUGUGUGAAAGACGUGGUUCCCAUUCCUGACCAACCACAGGGAGGCAUGCAUUGUGAGCUAGUUAGCUCCUGGUGGGAACAGGCUUACACAAAUCCACACAUAUGUUCUGUUCCAGUCUACGGCCAAUGCCUGUCUUGGAGGAAGAAACGACCCAAGUACAGGGAAGCUGCAGCUUUCUGCUCAGGACUGCCAGCAUGUGGAGCUUCCAGGUCUAGGGUGGAUGAGACACAUCCCCAGGGAACUCCCUCUGGCUAGAUGAUUGAAGAUGUUAACGAUGCAUAUAGUUGCACCCAGCCAUGCUCACCAGGGGAGAAAAAUGCUGCUGCCCCCACCAAGCAAG
RNAcentral lists this long non-coding RNA (3236 nucleotides) under Homo sapiens (human). RNAcentral describes it as "HSALNT0135976". Lineage: Eukaryota; Metazoa; Chordata; Mammalia; Primates; Hominidae. The record is from RNAcentral.